ACAAGUCAAUCAGCCAUCACGAAGUGCUGCUGUCAGCAAGGUCUCCAUGGCGUGUGGGAGGACACAAAGGAGAGGCAUCUAAAUUAAGCUGGAGUCAAGAAUGACCAUAAUGAGGCUCCUGGGACCAACCAUAGGUUAAAGAAAAACCAUCUGGUGCUAAGAAUCCAAAGGCAGCGGGAAAUCCUCAACAGGAACUGGAGAGGUUGGAGAAAUAAUAGAGCAGAAGCCACCUGGAAGCAGGGGCCCAAACAACAGGGCAGGUUGUUAGCUGCAUUGCACAUAGAAGGGUAGAAGAGGAAGAAUGAUUUUACUUCUUGACAAAGAAGAAGAAGGAAAGACGUCUGCAGGGUAAGCAUGUCUGGGAGUCCCUGCCACCUGCUGCUAUUCAUUUAAUCAUCCCUGGGAGCCGGACUGCAGGCCCUGUGCCAGGCUGUCAGCAGCAGAAACUGGCAAGGAGAGAGCUCACUCAGCAGCUAUUAGAUACCAGGGCCUGCCCACCAGUUACAGUGUGAACUGGGGACUGGAGGAACAGGAAGCAAUGGCUGAUCUCAGCAGUCAGCAGGAGGAAAAGUAAGGCAGAACUGAAAUGUAUGAUGUGUUUACUUUGUUAUCAGCACUGUGUCAUGCUAAGUACCUUUGAAAUGUCUCUUCUUCUCAUUCCUCGAAAUAGUCCUACUAAGUAG
This 683-nucleotide long non-coding RNA is filed under the name Pan troglodytes (chimpanzee). Its description in RNAcentral is "lincRNA". The record is from RNAcentral. Lineage: Eukaryota; Metazoa; Chordata; Mammalia; Primates; Hominidae.